This 3772-nucleotide long non-coding RNA is filed under the name Sus scrofa (pig). RNAcentral describes it as "lncRNA (ENSSSCG00040036420.1)". Lineage: Eukaryota; Metazoa; Chordata; Mammalia; Artiodactyla; Suidae. The record is from RNAcentral.
AACAAGCUGAUCCUGCCAAAAGUCUAAGAAGACCAGCAGAUGAACAGCUUUGCAUUUUAGGUAGGUCAUGGUGGCUUCACUUUGGUAAAGAAUUGGAGCUGGAGGCAAGGAGGGCAUUCAGGCUUUUUCAACAAACCAGUGGAGAGGUGAUGGUGACCCAUAUUGGGGAGGUACCAGUGGGCAUCUAAGAAUAAAUUUUUUUGCACUUCUAUGUACAGGAACUCUUCUAGGUACCAGGGGGAUAAGCAGCGGUAUAGCAGGGGUAAAUCUUACAUUACAGUGGAGGAAUGAGAAAACAAACAGUAAAUAACCUAAUUUCUGUUCAGCAAAUACUAUGAGAAUAAAGUUAAAUAGGUUAAAGCAAUGGUGCAUGCUCUAUUUUAGAUAGGAUGGAUAGAGCAAGGCAUCUCCAAACAGAUCUGAAGGGGUUAGAGGAGUAAGUCAUCUACAGUUGUGGAAGAUAAGCAUUGCAGAUAGCAGAGAUCUGAAUGUUCUCUUCUGAAUAUAUUAAGUUUGAGAUCUUAUAGAUGCCCAUAUGGAGACUACCAGUAUACAAGUCUGAACCUCAAGGGAGAUGUCUGAUAUGGAAACUCAGGAUUCAUCAGCAAACAUACGCUAUUGGAUAUCUUUGAACUAAAAGAAUAUCUAAGGUGUAAGUGUAGCACUGAAAACUGGGAUCUCAAAAACUUAUUGGUAGAAUGAAGAGAAGGAGAGUUCUGGCUUCUGCACUGGGGGAUGUCCACUAGAUAGAGGCUGAAGGGAUGUUAAAAGAGCCCUUCCUCAGAAUCUGCCACAGUGACCAAGAAGGUUUGCAGGCCACUGAGAUGAGGACCAAGGAAUAGAGUCCAGUUUGUUGAAUUUCAGUACCUACGGCAUUAAGCAGCCAGGCAUAUGGGUUUGAAGCUCAAGAGGGAAAUGUGGAGGGAGAUAGAUUUUAGCACCCAGCAUACAGGUCAAAAAGUGAGGUCAGGAUGAAGAGUGAGAAAAGAGAAAAGGCCAGGGAGUUCCCAUCAUGGUGCAGUGGUUAACGAAUCCGACUAGGAACCAUGAGGUUGUGGAUUCAAUCCCUGGCCUCGCUCAGUGGGUUAAGGAUCCGGCGUUGCUGUGAGCUGUGUGUGAUAUGAGGUUGAAAAGUGUGGGCUCUCGGGUUCUUGCCACUUAGCCAUUGUUUGAUCUUGGGAAAAUUAUUAACCUCUUCAUGUCUCAGUUUCCACACCCGCAACUUUGGAAUAAUGACAAGAUCUUCCUCCUUGGCUUGCUGCGAAGAGAAAUAGCAUUACUCCUUUAGUACACUGACCUCUUUCCACUCAACAAAUGAGCCAAGAUUAUUAGUACCUCAAAAACUUUGUCCAUACCUUUUGCCCUGUCUAUAUUGUUCAUCCAAAGACUGGUGUGUGUUUGUACACGCACGCAGGGAAGCAUUUAGAACAUGCGAGGCAUACAGUUAGUGUUUCGUAUGAUUGAACAAUUGAUAAGGAGAAAAAAAAAGACUGAGCUACUAUGAUAUCACUGUUAUCCCGUAACCUUAUAGAACUGAGAAUCCUGAGGUCAGUUGCUCUGUGCUCUAGAAAUCUUCCAAAGCUAGCCAAACUGCUGCAUAUAAGUCCACUAAGAAAUAUAUCUCCAGGACACCUCUGUUCCCCAAUUCCUUUAUCCUGUACUUACAAGGUGAGCAAAUAAAAUACCACAUCCUGACCUUGCCAUUUAUCUUACUCUGCACUCAGCUGGUGCCCAGAGGAUAACACUGGACUUAGAGUUUGAAGAGCCAGGUUUCAGGCUCUGCUGGAUGAACUUUGGACCCCAUCACAUAAGUUUUCAGUAUCUUCCCUUAUUUGUCUUAAGCACCAAUUUCCUCCCUAUCUGUUGAAAGGAUUAAAUGAGAUAAUAUAAUUUGUAUCCACAUAAAUAAUAUUGGGUCAUUCACCUGCUCAAGACUCUUUGUCCUCAGAACAAAAUCUAAAUUCCUUACCAUGGCCUCUGCCUGUCAGACCCACCCCACUAGUUCCCUUCCUUUUUCUCGGCUCUGAGUACAUCAAACACAUCAAGGUUACUCAUAGCACAACUCUGCCCUCCUGUUUCCCCCUCUCUGUAAUGUUUCUUCUAGGUAUUUUCAAAACUGUUUGGUCUGUCUGUUUGUUUGGGGCAUUCAGGUUUCUAGCCAAGAAUCCUCCCCUGGGAGUCUUUCUACACCUGCCUCAUCUAAGUGGUGCUGCUCCCAGUUGUUCUCUAUCACAUCAUCCUCUUUUAUAUUUCUCAUUGCAUCUAUCAUCAUCAUCUGAAAUUAUUUUGUUCACUUAUUUAACAAUUUUCUCUGAGGGCAGGGGCCAUGUCUGUUUGGUUGAGAACUCUCCUCCUAGUGUCUAGACAGCACCUGGCCUGUGGGAAAGCCCCUUAAAUAUUUGUGCAUAAAUGAACGAGAACAUGCUCCAUGAAGGGGAACGGAUGCAGGUAUCCUUGAGGAUCUACUGCAGUGACUGACUGUGGCCACUCACUUGCUAGAGCCUCAGCCAAGAGAGCAUAACAGCUCUGCAAGUACCAGAGGCCUUCUUUCUCAGGGGUGCUCUGAAAGAAGUACCACUUUAAAUAAAAGCAGAUGAACAGCACUAUGUGGAGAAGUCCUUUUGUAAAGAGAAGCACUGUGAGCCCCCAACAAGGGAGGGAGCUCCUUAGAGCACUCACAACAAAGGCAGCAGCAAUCACUCAAGAAGAAAGCAGACCCAGGAGAGACCAUAUGGAAGACAUCAAGUGUAGAAGCAACUAUGGAAAUGGCCCACCCCUACAGGAAGGUGUACUUUAUCACUGACCUUGUGUGUAACUGCCAGGACACAGAGAUAAUAAAAAAUAGAUUGAGUCUGUUUUUGUCUGUUUUAUCAUUGCUUUUAAAUUGUAUGUUCUUAUCAAAAAGCUUCACUCUCACUUAGAUACAUCUUGACUCCCGAUAUAUUUCUACAGACCAUGGGAAUGGGAGCCUGACACUGGAGUGAUAAUCCAAUUACUUUAAAAAGGCAAAAAAGUAGGAAGAUGUCUGACAUGCAGAACCCAGUUAUUAUGAUGCCUCUGAAAAGAAAGCUUUUCCUGGACUAUGUUAUAUACUUUAUUGGUUUUUUGAAAAUCUGUGUUGAUGAUGUUAUUUAAUGAUGAUGCUUGCCUUUGCCUCAUAGUCAUCAUAAAUUUGAUUCACUUUCAGGUACUGGGACUAGUGUGAGUGGCACAGAUGAAAAAAUUCAGAGCUGUAACAGGAUCCCACUUCAGUCUCCUUCCUAGGUACAGGCAAUUGGCUCCUUGUGCUUACCUUCACACUCUGGACCAUUCACAAACUGGGUUUGGUUCCUACUCUUACAGUAGCUGUGCCUACAAAGUUUGAUUCAGGGUCAAUUCCCCUCAGUGGCUUAUGGUCGCUGAUUCUUCUGCCAGUCUUCUCAGCCUCAGGGCCUUUGCACGUCCUUCUGUUUACCUGGAAUAGGCUCUUUCCAAUUCUUCAUAUGCUCCUCCUAGUCAUCCAGGGUUUACUCUAAUGUUAUCUCUUCUAAGAGGUCCUCCCACUGGAAAGCAAAUUCCCCGAGAACAGCAAUCUUGCCUGACUUAUUCACCCUCUCUAUCUUCUUGUUCCUAGAACAAUGCCUGUCCCACAGUAGAUGCUCAAUAAAUAUCAAUUUGUUCAUUGACAGGUACAUGAGCUCAGGUUUUUUGCUAGUCUGUUUAGAUUUAUGAUUCCGUUAUCACCAACGUCUCUAGCAUCUAUAUACCUUAUCAGUGAUCUAUUUAGCUUCAA